This 382-nucleotide unclassified non-coding RNA is filed under the name soil metagenome. RNAcentral's name for it is "partial contains 5.8S ribosomal RNA, internal transcribed spacer 2, and large subunit ribosomal RNA". The stretch from base 1 to 120 matches the Rfam family "5.8S ribosomal RNA", at positions 35 to 154 of the family's 154-position model. The record is from RNAcentral.
GAUGAAGAACGUAGUGAAAUGCGAUAAGUAAUGUGAAUUGCAGAUUUCAGUGAAUCAUCGAAUCUUUGAACGCACCUUGCACCCUUUGGCAUUCCGAAGGGUAUGCUCGUUUGAGUGUCAUUGUACUCUCACUCUCCCGAUACUUUUGGAUCGGGAGUGGUGGACUUGGGUGCUGCUGCUUAACUGUGGCUCGCCUUAAAUGAAGUAGUGCAACUCUCGGUUGGACAUAGUACGGCGUGAUAAGUGUCUUCGCCGGCGCCUCAUUCGAGGGUGGCCGAUCGGGAGCUCUGUGCUUCAAACUGUCUUCGGACAACAUCUGACAACUUGACCUCAAAUCGAGUAGGACUACCCGCUGAACUUAAGCAUAUCAAUAAGCGGAGGA